UACGUAGGGUGCGAGCGUUGUCCGGAAUUACUGGGCGUAAAGAGCUCGUAGGUGGUUUGUCGUGUUGUUCGUGAAAACUCACAACUCAAUUGUGGGCGUGCGGGCGAUACGGGCAGACUGGAGUACUGCAGGGGAGACUGGAAUUCCUGGUGUAGCGGUGGAAUGCGCAGAUAUCAGGAGGAACACCGGUGGCGAAGGCGGGUCUCUGGGCAGUAACUGACGCUGAGGAGCGAAAGCGUGGGGAGCGAACAGG
Molecule: ribosomal RNA, 253 nt
Filed under: uncultured bacterium
Lineage: Bacteria
Description: partial 16S ribosomal RNA
Rfam family: Bacterial small subunit ribosomal RNA
Source: RNAcentral